CCCCGCACAAGCAGCGGAGCGUGUGGUUUAAUUCGAUGCUACACGAAGAACCUUACCAGGGUUUGACAUACAAGUAGUAGGGAAAGGAAACUGGACCGACCCUUCGGGGAGCUUGUACAGGUGCUGCAUGGCUGUCGUCAGCUCGUGUCGUGAGAUGUUGGGUUAAGUCCCGCAACGAGCGCAACCCUUGUCAUUAGUUGCUACAUUUAGUUGGGCACUCUAAUGAGACUGCCGGUGACAAGCCGGAGGAAGGUGGGGAUGACGUCAAGUCCUCAUGGCCCUUAUAGGUGGGGCUACACACGUCAUACAAUGGCCGGUACAGAGGGUAGCCAACCCGCGAGGGGGAGCCAAUCCCACAAAGCCGGUCGUAGUCCGGAUCGCAGUCUGCAACUCGACUGCGUGAAGUCGGAAUCGCUAGUAAUCGCGGAUCAGCAUGUCGCGGUGAAUACGUUCCCGGGUCUU
This 462-nucleotide ribosomal RNA is filed under the name uncultured Longilinea sp. RNAcentral's name for it is "bacterial SSU rRNA". It matches the Rfam family "Bacterial small subunit ribosomal RNA", at positions 920 to 1378 of the family's 1533-position model. Lineage: Bacteria; Bacillati; Chloroflexota; Anaerolineae; Anaerolineales; Anaerolineaceae. The record is from RNAcentral.